AGAGUUUGAUCAUGGCUCAGGAUGAACGCUAGCUACAGGCUUAACACAUGCAAGUCGAGGGGAAACGAUAUUGGAAGCUUGCUUCCGAUAGGCGUCGACCGGCGCACGGGUGAGUAACGCGUAUCCAACCUGCCCACCACUUGGGGAUAACCUUGCGAAAGUAAGACUAAUACCCAAUGACGUCUCUAGAAGACAUCUGAAAGAGAUUAAAGAUUUAUCGGUGAUGGAUGGGGAUGCGUCUGAUUAGCUUGUUGGCGGGGUAACGCCACCAAGGCUACGAUCAGUAGGGGUUCUGAGAGGAACGGUCCCCCANAUUGGAACUGAGACACGGUCCAAACUCCGUACGGAGGCA
Molecule: ribosomal RNA, 352 nt
Filed under: uncultured bacterium
Lineage: Bacteria
Description: bacterial SSU rRNA
Rfam family: Bacterial small subunit ribosomal RNA
Source: RNAcentral